UUUAUUGGAGAGUUUGAUCCUGGCUCAGGACGAACGCUGGCGGCAUGCCUAAUACAUGCAAGUCGAGCGGACUUGAAGAGAAGCUUGCUUCUCUGAUGGUUAGCGGCGGACGGGUGAGUAACACGUAGGCAACCUGCCCUCAAG
Molecule: ribosomal RNA, 144 nt
Filed under: Paenibacillus taichungensis
Lineage: Bacteria; Bacillati; Bacillota; Bacilli; Caryophanales; Paenibacillaceae
Description: partial 16S ribosomal RNA
Rfam family: Bacterial small subunit ribosomal RNA
Source: RNAcentral